RNAcentral lists this ribosomal RNA (501 nucleotides) under uncultured bacterium. Its description in RNAcentral is "partial 16S ribosomal RNA". It matches the Rfam family "Bacterial small subunit ribosomal RNA", at positions 30 to 523 of the family's 1533-position model. The record is from RNAcentral.
AUUGAACGCUGGCGGCAGGCUUAACACAUGCAAGUCGAGCGGAGAUGAGGUGCUUGCACCUUAUCUUAGCGGCGGACGGGUGAGUAAUGCUUAGGAAUCUGCCUAUUAGUGGGGGACAACAUUCCGAAAGGAAUGCUAAUACCGCAUACGUCCUACGGGAGAAAGCAGGGGAUCUUCGGACCUUGCGCUAAUAGAUGAGCCUAAGUCGGAUUAGCUAGUUGGUGGGGUAAAGGCCUACCAAGGCGACGAUCUGUAGCGGGUCUGAGAGGAUGAUCCGCCAGACUGGGACUGAGACACGGCCCAGAAUCCUACGGGAGGCAGCAGUGGGGAAUAUUGGACAAUGGGGGAAACCCUGAUCCAGCCAUGCCGCGUGUGUGAAGAAGGCCUUAUGGUUGUAAAGCACUUUAAGCGAGGAGGAGGCUACUGAGACUAAUACUCUUGGAUAGUGGACGUUACUCGCAGAAUAAGCACCGGCUAACUCUGUGCCAGCCGCCGCCGUAA